UACGAAGGGGGCUAGCGUUGCUCGGAAUGACUGGGCGUAAAGGGCGCGUAGGCGGUUUGUACAGUCAGGUGUGAAAUUCCCGGGCUCAACCUGGGGGCUGCACUUGAUACGUAUGGACUGGAGUGGGGAAGAGGGUCGUGGAAUUCCCAGUGUAGAGGUGAAGUUCGUAGAUAUUGGGAAGAACACCGGUGGCGAAGGCGGCGACCUGGUCCUUGACUGACGCUGAGGCGCGAAAGCGUGGGGAGCAAACAGG
RNAcentral lists this ribosomal RNA (253 nucleotides) under uncultured bacterium. RNAcentral's name for it is "partial 16S ribosomal RNA". It matches the Rfam family "Bacterial small subunit ribosomal RNA", at positions 524 to 776 of the family's 1533-position model. The record is from RNAcentral.